Dasypus novemcinctus (nine-banded armadillo) is the source of this 202-nucleotide small nucleolar RNA. Its record names the gene SNORA74. It matches the Rfam family "Small nucleolar RNA SNORA74". From Rfam's summary of the family: U19 belongs to the H/ACA class of snoRNAs. snoRNAs bind a number of proteins (including dyskerin, Gar1p and Nop10p in the case of the H/ACA class) to form snoRNP complexes. This class are thought to guide the sites of modification of uridines to pseudouridines by forming direct base pairing interactions with substrate RNAs. Targets may include ribosomal and spliceosomal RNAs but the exact functions of many snoRNAs, including U19, are not confirmed. NCBI's taxonomy places the organism in Eukaryota, Metazoa, Chordata, Mammalia, Cingulata, Dasypodidae. The record is from Ensembl.
ACCAGCAGUUGUCAGCUUUCCAGGCCAGUGUGAUGCCUGUGAUGGUGUUACACUGUUGGAAGAGGAAGCACUACCUUUACUGUGGUCUGGCCCCAAGCACUGUUUUGGUGAUGAGGGCAAGUACCUAUAGGGCAGUGUUUUGCACCUCUGAGAGUGGAGUGGCUCCCUUUGUGGGCUUGGUCCUAGUCUGGGUGCAAACAGU